GAUGAACGCUGGCGGCGUGCCUAAUACAUGCAAGUCGAGCGAACGGACGAGAAGCUUGCUUCUCUGAUGUUAGCGGCGGACGGGUGAGUAACACGUGGAUAACCUACCUAUAAGACUGGGAUAACUUCGGGAAACCGGAGCUAAUACCGGAUAAUAUUUUGAACCGCAUGGUUCAAAAGUGAAAGACGGUCUUGCUGUCACUUAUAGAUGGAUCCGCGCUGCAUUAGCUAGUUGGUAAGGUAACGGCUUACCAAGGCAACGAUGCAUAGCCGACCUGAGAGGGUGAUCGGCCACACGGGAACUGAGACACGGUCCAGACUCCUACGGGAGGCAGCAGUAGGGAAUCUUCCGCAAUGAGCGAAAGCCUGACGGAGCAACGCCGCGUGAGUGAUGAAGGUCUUCGGAUCGUAAAACUCUGUUAUUAGGGAAGAACAUAUGUGUAAGUAACUGUGCACAUCUUGACGGUACCUAAUCAGAAAGCCACGGCUAACUACGUG
This 497-nucleotide ribosomal RNA is filed under the name uncultured bacterium. Its description in RNAcentral is "partial 16S ribosomal RNA". It matches the Rfam family "Bacterial small subunit ribosomal RNA", at positions 28 to 507 of the family's 1533-position model. The record is from RNAcentral.